CAAUCAGUUUUUCAAUCUUAAUAUUCUUAAUAUAUAUUUUAGCGACUUAAAACCCACAAAACAUUAUAUUGGACAUGUAAGUGCUGCCAUCUACACAUACUUUGCGUGAACUGAGCGCGAACACCUGUUCUUAAAUUUGGUUUUUAUAGUGGUGCAAUGGCGGCGUUUCGCAAUCUAACUUACGAUGCAAUAUUUGGCAAUAAGAAAUCCCUUAGACCUGGAGUUGAUGACGAGAAACUUCUUGAGCUACUAAAUGCCGAUUGUUCCGACAUAGACAUAUCAGAUGAAGAAAACGAAUUGGAUCCUGAACCUGAAGAAAUAUUUAACGACAAACUCCAAAAUGAGCAAACGGAGGAGGAGGCGGCAAUUGAUCAAAGAGAAGAAAGGGAAGACAGCGAGGAAGAUGAUGAUGAAGAUGAUCUACUUCCGUUGAGUGUUGUUCGAGACAAUUUACUUGUAGCUCAAGCUCAAAAUAGCACCAGCAAGGCAAAGCGGACAUCUUGGAAAAGAAAAUCCACGUUUACACCUCCUAAUUUUGACUGGACCGAACCUGAAAAUGACUUUGAAAGACGUCUCGCUUGGACGGCAAAGAAUUAUUUGUCCAUGUAUUUCACGGAUGAAGAUUUCCAAAAAAUUUGCGAUUGUACAAAUGCCCGAUAUGUUGAAGUCAAGGGAGUGUCACUAAAUUUAACACUACUUGAGAUUAAAAAAUUUCUUGGGAUGAUAACCUUGAUGUCUUGUUUAAAAUACCCACGUAUUCGAAUGUAUUGGGCUAAAACUACUAGGGUUGAAGCUAUUGCAAGAAAUAUGACACGUGAUAGGUUUUUUCAAUUAGGAGUAAUCUAAAGGUAGUGGUUGAUGGCGAUGUUACUGCGGCUGAAAGGAAUUUAGAUAAAUUUUGGAAGGUCCGUCCUUUAAUGAAUAAAGUAAAAAAUGCUUGUUUAAGUUUACCUAGAGAAAAAACUGUAGCCGUGGAUGAACAAAUGAUUCCAUUUACUGGUGUCUGUGCGAUGAAACAGUUUGUAAGAGGAAAACCAAAUCCAAAAGGUUUAAAAAAUUUUGUUUGUGCUGCCCCAGAUGGACUGGUAAUUGAUUUUGAAUUGUACCAAGGAAAAAAUACAUUUUUGGAAGACAAUUAUAAGAAUUUGGGAAUUGGUCCAUCAGCUGUAAUUCGACUAACACAAACAUUGCUACCUGGUACACACCUAUACUUCGAUAGAUAUUUUUCCACUUUACCUCUACUUGAACAUCUACACCAACAAAAAAUGUAUGGCACAGGAACUAUAAUGAAGUCGCGCAUUCCUUCAGCUGUUCAUUUAACCAGCGACAAAAUGAUGAGCAAAAUGGGACGUGGAGCAUCGGAACAGUUAUUGCGUGAAGACGAAAAAAUUAUCAUUGUUAAAUGGUACGAUAUGAAGCCAGUUCUUCUAGCGUCCACGGGACAGGGAAGUCAACCAUACGACGAAUGCAAAAAGUGGUCGAAGAAAGAAGCAAAGUACAUUCAAGUACCCAGACCUAACAUAGUUUCUAAAUACAAUGAAUGCAUGGGGGGUAUAGAUUUGAUCGAUCGAAUGAUAAGUUAUUACAGAAUACAAGCAAGAUGCAAAAAAUGGACCGUUAGAGUUAUUCUACACUUCUUUGAUUUAGCAAUGGCCAAUUCUUGGAUUCUUUACAGACGCGACAAAAAGUGGCUGAACACCACUAACCGAAAUAUUCAGCAAUACCUCGAUUUUAAAAUUGAGUUUGCUACAUAUUUGCUGUCAGAUCAAAACGAUUUCUUUUUGGACUUGCCAAGAUCUUUGAGUACCAGAGCCAAUUCUAAGGGCAGAGUUGACUCACCAAAAGUAUGCGAUUCUCCAACUUUAAAGCGAAAUCGUCAUCAUUUUCCGGCAAUAGCUUCAAUAAAAAAUUCCGUAAGGUGUAAAAAUCAAGAUUGCAAAAAGAAAACAAAGUUCUUUUGUGAAGCUUGCAACUUUUUUUUGUGCAUUACCAGUGAAAGAAAUUGUUUUAAAGACUUUCACAAGUAGAUUUAGGACUUUUAAAACUGUUUCUAUACUUUUUUAGAAUCUUUGUUUCUUUGUGCAUAUUUAAUUUUUUGGUAGGAAAGCAACCUUAUGUCCACUAAAAUGGACACAGUUUUUUUUGAAAACCAAAAGAAAAAAUAAAAAAAACUUAUUAAGAAAAGUUGUUUCAUUUUGCCUUUUAAAAUCACCCAUAAAGUUUCAUGGUGAUCUAAUAAAAAUAACCUCUCUGGGUCCCAGGAGGAUAUGAUCAGUACUUUAUAUUAUUAGAUAUUUUUUUCGAUAAAUAGCUCUAUUAGUAUUGUACGAGUAAGUAUCAGCACUGAAAUAUUUUCUGGGUGUUAUCAGCAGUGAACUACUUUUUCGGUGUUCGCUGCACUGAAAAGUGUUCUGGAUGUUUUUUGGACCGGAUUAUAAAGUGCAUAAUUUUGAGAAUUAUGAAAAAAGCUGUAAAUAUCUAAAUUCUAAUAUUACAAAGAUGUUUCUUUGAUCCUUGAUGUCUGUAAUGGUUUAACAUGUAACAAAGAUGGUUGUAACGAAUACAAGGUAUGUUGAAAUAAACGCAAUAAACUUCCAAUUAUAAAUACAAUCUUUUUGUUUUACAGUAUUUAUGUUCCACUCCGAAUCAACUCAACCGAUAGUCAGUAAUUCGACAACUUCAAGGUUCUCCAAGAUUCUCGAAGUUUAAUCGUCUUAAAUUUGGAGCAAAUUUUUAAAUUUGUUGUUAAAGCUAUAAUUUCGUUAUUCAGAAAUAGUAUUUAGUAGUCCUUAUCCUCUAAGAUAUAAUUAGUCUAUUGUGUUUGUAUAUCUUGUGGUAACUGAUAUCUACUGAGAAGAAACCCGAAUUUAUUCGUGGUAACUGAUAUCUACUGAGAAGAAACCCGAAUUUAUUCGAACAAAUUUUUACCCGCACAUUAUAACUUUAUAUUUAAUUAUGAUUAUGUUUUUUUGAUAUUCGCUAUUCCGCUUGUAAGAUUCGAAAAAAUUUAAAUUAUCUGCAAAAAAUCUAAGCACAGUUGUUUUCUGUCCUAAGAUCUUACCUGGUCGGCAGAGACAGCCAGUCUUUUAUGUUUUAUUGAAAGGGCGCUUGAGUCUUAACACUUUUACAAAAACCGUCAUAAUUUCACAGAUAAGGUUUAUGAAGGUUGCAUAAUCUUAGACGGUAAGGUUUAUUAAUUACUACACUAUUUUUGUUUUGAAAGAAGGCGUUGUGUAAAACAUUCUGUAUUUAUGUUUAAAUUUGAAAGGAAAUGUGCAAUAUAAGUUUGUUACUUGA
RNA transcript from Tribolium castaneum (red flour beetle), 3297 nucleotides. RefSeq lists it as uncharacterized. The record is from RefSeq and is a predicted model, not a curated record. Lineage: Eukaryota; Metazoa; Arthropoda; Insecta; Coleoptera; Tenebrionidae. The transcript has 2 exons.